CCCUAUUGGGAUGCUAAACGAAACAUACGGUUUCUCAUUCUCCCUUGCCAUUACUGUGAGCAAACUCUCUUCCAUAGGAGAGAAUACUAAAUCUAAUCGAUCUUCUUCAAUCUUCCACUACUCUAUCACUGUAGGAGCUCUCACUCUGUAUUGGGAAUUUGAUUCCAUCUUCGAGUUGAUCUCUCUGUCACCGGAAAAAGCUCUCACUCUGUAUUAGGGAUUUGAUUCAAUCUUCCACUCGAUCUCUCUAUCACUUGUAGGAGCUCUUACUCUGUAUUGGGGAUUUUAUUCAAUCUUCCACUCUAUAUCUCUAUCACUGGUAGGAAGUCUCACUCUGUAUUGGGGAUUUGAUGCGGAUUUUGACGUUCAAUAAGUUGUUUAGGGUUUAUUAAUUUAAGGGAAAUUUUGGAGAGAAAUGUUGGCAUUGGUUGGGUCAAGAGGAGGAGGAGAUGCAUCAUCAACUAAUAUGGAGAAGGAUUCUACCUCUCUAAAAUCUGUGAGCGAGCAAUAGAGUUCCAUUGAAAUCCAUUCAAGCCUAAGCAUAUCAGGUUUUUAAAUUUCAAUCAAUUUUAUUUUUAUUUUUUUAAUAUUUGUUCAAUUUUCUUAAAAACAUUUGAUGUAUUUUUUCUCUUGUUUUGAAUGUAAUCUAGGGUUUAUUAUUGGUGGAUGAAGCAAACUAUUCAACUUUUACUUCACGAGCAUUCUAGCAGGACAAGUAUCUUAUAUUUGUUGAUUUUUUUUUCCUUCAUAUUUUCUUCAAAUAUCGUCUAAUAAUCUGUAUUUUUUAUUUUUAUUUUCGUUGAAUAUCAUGUAUAUGUAUUCUUUUAAUUUGAUUUCCAUAAUUGAAGAUAGAUUGAGGAUUAGAAUUCUUUAGGUGAAAGUUUAUUGUACGCAUACAUAGUGUUUGAGAAAUUGUCUCAAUGGAAAUUUAUGUACUUUUUUAUUUUUCGUUCAUUUUUUAUUAUUGUUUAUAGUCUUAAUUGUGCAAUGGAAGUGUUUCAAUUGGAAAAAUCCAAGCUUGUGGUUUUAGAAUCACAUUUCAUUCUAUCAGUUUCGUUUUUUCUGGUAGCAAUUUCUAGUUGAUUGACUCGAAAACAUCUGCCAUACAUUGAGAUCACGUAAGGGCAUGAGGGAACUUGACGAGAAGAAUUCAGAAACAAAGGUAAAGUGGGAGGAUAACACAACUAGAUCAAAAUGGGUUAUUGUCAAUCACGCUACUUUCUUAGUUAUUUUUCAAAGGUUAUUAGCAGCCCUUGUUCCUCAGAAAGUAAUAUGAUUUUUGGAUGGGCUCAUGCUACGAGACUUCAAGCUCUUUUUGUUUAAGAUGGUUUAAGUAGUGUAUGUCCAGGUCUCUAAACUCUUUUUUUAGGAAUCUAUAGCACAUUUUUGUCUAAGAUCUUGAAACAUUUUAUUUAAGAUACUAGCUUGUUUUGGUCCAAAUUAUUAGAAUUGAAAUUGUUUUAGUUGUGAA
Long non-coding RNA from Cornus florida, 1471 nucleotides. RefSeq lists it as uncharacterized. The transcript is spliced from 3 exons. The record is from RefSeq and is a predicted model, not a curated record. NCBI's taxonomy places the organism in Eukaryota, Viridiplantae, Streptophyta, Magnoliopsida, Cornales, Cornaceae.